GAUGAACGCUAGCGGCAGGCUUAACACAUGCAAGUCGAGGGGUAACAGGGAAGAGCUUGCUUUUCUGCUGACGACCGGCGCACGGGUGCGUAACGCGUAUAGAACCUACCUUUUACAGGGGAAUAGCCCAGAGAAAUUUGGAUUAAUGCCCCAUAGUAUUAUUGAAUGGCAUCAUUUAAUAAUUAAACAUUUAUGGGUAAAAGAUGGCUAUGCGUUCUAUUAGCUAGAUGGUAAGGUAACGGCUUACCAUGGCAACGAUAGAUAGGGGUCCUGAGAGGGAGAUCCCCCACACUGGUACUGAGACACGGACCAGACUCCUACGGGAGGCAGCAGUGAGGAAUAUUGGACAAUGGAGGCAACUCUGAUCCAGCCAUGCCGCGUGCAGGAAGACGGUCCUAUGGAUUGUAAACUGCUUUUAUAUAGGAAGAAACCUUUCCACGUGUGGAAAGCUGACGGUACUAUAAGAAUAAGCACCGGCUAACUCCGUGCCAGCAGCCGCGGUAAUACGGAGGGUGCAAGCGUUAUCCGGAAUCAUUGGGUUUAAAGGGUCCGUAGGCGGACUAAUAAGUCAGGGGUGAAAUCCAACAGCUUAACUGUUGAACUGCCUUUGAUACUGUUAGUCUUGAGUUAUAUGGAAGUAGAUAGAAUAUGUAGUGUAG
Molecule: ribosomal RNA, 659 nt
Filed under: Lutibacter sp.
Lineage: Bacteria; Pseudomonadati; Bacteroidota; Flavobacteriia; Flavobacteriales; Flavobacteriaceae
Description: bacterial SSU rRNA
Rfam family: Bacterial small subunit ribosomal RNA
Source: RNAcentral